GUUAGCGGCGGACGGGUGAGUAACACGUGGGCAACCUGCCUGUAAGACUGGGAUAACUCCGGGAAACCGGAGCUAAUACCGGAUAACAUUUUUUCUUGCAUAAGAGAAAAUUGAAAGAUGGUUUCGGCUAUCACUUACAGAUGGGCCCGCGGUGCAUUAGCUAGUUGGUGAGGUAACGGCUCACCAAGGCAACGAUGCAUAGCCGACCUGAGAGGGUGAUCGGCCACACUGGGACUGAGACACGGCCCAGACUCCUACGGGAGGCAGCAGUAGGGAAUCUUCCGCAAUGGACGAAAGUCUGACGGAGCAACGCCGCGUGAGUGAUGAAGGCUUUCGGGUCGUAAAACUCUGUUGUUAGGGAAGAACAAGUACAAGAGUAACUGCUUGUACCUUGACGGUACCUAACCAGAAAGCCACGGCUAACUACGUGCCAGCAGCCGCGGUAAUACGUAGGUGGCAAGCGUUAUCCGGAAUUAUUGGGCGUAAAGCGCGCGCAGGCGGUUUCUUAAGUCUGAUGUGAAAGCCCACGGCUCAACCGUGGAGGGUCAUUGGAAACUGGGGAACUUGAGUGCAGAAGAGAAAAGCGGAAUUCCACGUGUAGCGGUGAAAUGCGUAGAGAUGUGGAGGAACACCAGUGGCGA
RNAcentral lists this ribosomal RNA (641 nucleotides) under Bacillus sp. I15B-00814. RNAcentral's name for it is "bacterial SSU rRNA". It matches the Rfam family "Bacterial small subunit ribosomal RNA", at positions 91 to 718 of the family's 1533-position model. Lineage: Bacteria; Bacillati; Bacillota; Bacilli; Caryophanales; Bacillaceae. The record is from RNAcentral.